This 394-nucleotide ribosomal RNA is filed under the name uncultured Anaeromyxobacter sp. RNAcentral describes it as "bacterial SSU rRNA". It matches the Rfam family "Bacterial small subunit ribosomal RNA", at positions 67 to 447 of the family's 1533-position model. The record is from RNAcentral. Lineage: Bacteria; Pseudomonadati; Myxococcota; Myxococcia; Myxococcales; Anaeromyxobacteraceae.
CGAGAAAGCCCGCAAGGGUGAGUAAAGCGGCGCACGGGUGCGUAACACGUGGGUAAUCUGCCCUAGAGUCUGGAAUAACUCGCCGAAAGGCGUGCUAAUGCCGGGUGAGACCACGGGAGCCUCGGCUCCUGCGGGAAAAGGUGGCCUCUGUAUACAAGCUAUCGCUCUAGGAUGAGCCCGCGGCCCAUCAGCUAGUUGGCGGGGUAAUGGCCCACCAAGGCUACGACGGGUAGCUGGUCUGAGAGGACGAUCAGCCACACUGGAACUGAGACACGGUCCAGACUCCUACGGGAGGCAGCAGUGGGGAAUCUUGCGCAAUGGGCGAAAGCCUGACGCAGCAACGCCGCGUGUGUGAUGAAGGUCUUCGGAUCGUAAAGCACUGUCGCGAGGGACG